CCCCUGCCUGCCUUUGUCCGCACUCUUACCCUGUCCUGCAGGAAACCCAGGGCUGACAUUGAAUCCCUGCUUGGCUUUCCCCAAGAGAUCCAAUAACCCGGGGUUGCAGAUGGUGGAACAAAGACCCUUUAGGGGCCAAAGUGAAUUCAAGAUACUUCCUAAAAGUCACUGUUCUUCUAGUCUCAGCGUUGUCAGGUUUUGGAUUAUAAAUCAUUAUCUACUCUACUUAUUACCCCGCUCUCAGGCUGUUAAUGUAUAUGGUGCCUUUUUGCAGAUAAAGAAAUACAUCCCCUCUAGACAAACUGCACAAAUGUGGCCCCUCUGUGCAGCAAUUUGGGAAAGUCCCUCCUUCCUGCAGGCUGAUCGAGCCCCUCACCAGGAUACCUCCAGCAAGCACGUGGGAACCUUAGCCCCCGUCCUGUCCCUCAGGUGAUCCCUGCAGAACCUUGCAUGCUGCCUGUUGCAAUCUUGCCAAAGACUCCAUUAGAGCCUUCCUCAGAACAAUGCUUCUCUCCAGCCAUUCACCAGGAAAGGAGGGCUCUCUGGGAACUGCUAUCCUAACAUGACCAGACUGUUAAGACAGCGUCUAUUUCUUCAUGUUUAAAAUAUGGCAACGUAUGUGUGAGCUGCCUUAGGGUCUGAGUGAUAUGGCAUUCUAUUUUUGUCAGAUUGCUCUGGGUUUUACUCCAUUUUUCCCCUUGCCUACAGUGUCCCGAGAAAGUCUUUCUGAGCAGUAACGUGUCCCCUUUAAAAAAUCAAAGCGCCCAUGCAAGGUCAGAGCCCUUGAAAUGAAACUAUGCAGUGGAAUGCACGGAAGCCCAGUUGGGCAUGGCAUUGUCAGAGCUAAGUGAGCCUGAUCCUCCACCACAUAAUUCUAAUUUAAUUAGCCUAAUGAGUUCAGGCUGAUGUCACCAAGUGAUCAAUCAGGUUCGAGUUAUGAGAUAUUGAAAAAUGGGAUUAGAAAAGAAAAAGGGCAUUUGGCAAAUUGAUUCCAGGACAGGGGAGCUGAGAAGUCCUGAUUUAACAAUCGGACGCUUGCUGUUUAUUUUUUUCUCUCAUCCCUUGAAUGCUAAGUCAUAACAAAGCCUGCUUAAAUGUGCUCGCUUGCUCAUGUUUCAUUGGAAUUCAUUUUGUAGUUCCCUCUCUGUUUUGAUUUACAAAUGCUUUCUUUUCGGUCACAGUAAGCCAGAAAUUCUACCUUGCAUGAAACAUUCCAGAAGCAAUGAAUGCCUGCUAUCUAGAAAAAUCAAAUGUCCCUAAGGAAUUUUUGCUCCCUUAGACAUUGUUAAUAUAUAUCGUGAAAAAAAAUGCAAAAGAAAACAUAAGUUUUAAUGUCGACAUGUAACAUUAGUUCCAUUUAAACAUUAAACUCUGUUCUAUUUAGUUAGUAAAGUGGGUGAUUGGCCAAAGAGGGAAUUUUCAUGUGUGGAUUUUUUUCUCCUCUUUUUUCAAAUGGUUAUUAAAGGGAGAAGUCCGUGAGUCAUCUCAGGCCAGAAACUGAAGCUGUGUGAGCCAGACAUUCUUCUAGUUCUCAGAAGGUUAGAAAUUAGGUGAACUUAACAAGCUUGGCCAGUUUUCCAGUUGACUUGCUGUGUCUGAGAUGAAGAUUCAAUUUCAUCCAUUAUUUGAGGUGUGAAGAGGACAACUUUUUCAUUAGCCUUCCAUCUGGUCAUGCUAGCAUGGACAUUUACCUUCAGCAAUGAUGACUGAGUUCCAUUUUCUGACUCAUCAGAAAAUGGAUGAAGAAGUAACUGAAUCCUUCACCCAUGGAAGAAGGUCACCGAGGCCUCAGUGUUCUCUGGGCUUCUUUGUCUAAGCCAUGUGGAAGCACAGAACAAAGUCCGUAUAGUGAUUAAGAGACUGCUCCAAAUUAGAGGAGAUUCUAUGAUGAACCUUCGUGGAGAGAAAUCAACACACGUCCAUAAAAAUUUCUUUAAGGUGUUCAUAUUUUAUCAGGCACCUAUUCAAAUCACUGUACCUUCGGGCGUGGCUGGAAUUGCUGUUUGCUUUCUGCAAGAAACAAAAGGGAACAGUUUUGAAACAGAGCCAUUUAUACUAGUAUUUACCUUUAUCAAUUCAGGUUUCUUUCUUUUGUCCAAUUACUGACUCAAGAAAUAUUUUUUGACUCCUGUUGUCUGAUAGGAACUGUGAUAGCUAAGUGCUAUGUAUGAAAAAAAAAAUUAGUAAAAUGUGAUGUUUACCUUCAAGUUGCUUCGUAUUUCAGAAUGAAGGUAGUCAGUCCUACUAAGAUAAAAUUAAAUUCAGAGUUUAAAUGGGAGCAGAAAGGAAAAAUUGGGACACCUGGAAUGCAGGGAAGAUGUCUCAGUCAUGCUAAGUUGAGUCUUCCAGAACAAGUGGGUUUUGUGCAUCUGUUACAUCUCUCUCUCUC
Long non-coding RNA from Pteropus alecto (black flying fox), 2389 nucleotides. RefSeq lists it as uncharacterized. The record is from RefSeq and is a predicted model, not a curated record. The transcript has 6 exons. NCBI's taxonomy places the organism in Eukaryota, Metazoa, Chordata, Mammalia, Chiroptera, Pteropodidae.